RNAcentral lists this microRNA precursor (99 nucleotides) under Choloepus hoffmanni (Hoffmann's two-fingered sloth). RNAcentral describes it as "miRNA (ENSCHOG00000016015.1)". It matches the Rfam family "mir-544 microRNA precursor family". Lineage: Eukaryota; Metazoa; Chordata; Mammalia; Pilosa; Megalonychidae. The record is from RNAcentral.
AUUACUUGGAGAUCUUGUUAAAAUGCAGAUUCUGAUGUGGGAGGUCUGGGUUGAAGCCUGAGAUUCUACAUUUCUAACAAGUUCCCAGGUGAUACCACU